Molecule: ribosomal RNA, 496 nt
Filed under: uncultured bacterium
Lineage: Bacteria
Description: bacterial SSU rRNA
Rfam family: Bacterial small subunit ribosomal RNA
Source: RNAcentral
UAGUCCACACCGUAAACGAUGAGAGCUAGUUGUCUGCAAGCAUGCUUGUAGGUGACGCAGCUAACGCAUUAAGCUCUCCGCCUGGGGAGUACGGUCGCAAGAUUAAAACUCAAAGAAAUUGACGGGGGCCCGCACAAGCGGUGGAGCAUGUGGUUUAAUUCGAAGCAACGCGCAGAACCUUACCUACCCUUGACAUGCCGGUCGCGAUUUCCAGAGAUGGAUUUCUUCAAUUCGGUUGGACCGUGCACAGGUGCUGCAUGGCUGUCGUCAGCUCGUGACGUGAGAUGUUGGGUUAAGUCCCGCAACGAGCGCAACCCUCAUUUUUAGUUACCAUCAUUUAGUUGGGUACUCUAGAGAAACUGCCGGGGUCAACCCGGAGGAAGGUGGGGAUGACGUCAAGUCUUCAUGGCCCUUAUGGUCUGGGCUACACACGUGCUACAAUGGCAAAUACAAUGAGCAGCGAUCCCGCGAGGGUCAGCUAAUCUCCAAAAUUUGU